Molecule: long non-coding RNA, 207 nt
Organism: Rosa chinensis
Lineage: Eukaryota; Viridiplantae; Streptophyta; Magnoliopsida; Rosales; Rosaceae
Exons: 3
Source: RefSeq, a predicted model, not a curated record
UUUAUAUCAAACUAAAAUGACUAAAAUCCAAUGCUGGAAGUUGCUCGGAGCUGGCAGAAAGUGAUGGUAAAAAUUUGGAGGGAAGGUCGAUUUUGAUGGCGCUCAUAUGGUAGCUGACUUUUAGUGCGGGAUUUACAUUCUCAACACACCUCUGAAUGUGUGAUUUUAAAACCGUACAAAUAGAGUCGUGAACAACAUAUAUUAGGU